AGGAGACGUCUGCCUGCAGAAGCACCAGGAGAAGGCCAAGCUCCUCGUUCAAGAUGCACACUGUUCAUCUUUCCAUCAUCUUCUCUUGGGCAGGAAGCCUAUGUGCGACAACAUUUAAUUUUCCGUCACUUCUGCAGUGUUCUUCUAACUGAGAAGCAGGAAAAGAUGUCAUUUACUAGCAGGUCCUGGCUCCAUACUUUUAACUGUUUAAAGGAGCGGUAGAUUGCCUUCAGUUCUUCAUGGAUGUGACUGUCUGGCAAGGAGUGCUUGACUUACUGCUGCUCUCAGUUACUCAAAAGGAAGAUCUGAUAUCAACGCUAAGCAGUAGCUUUGGGAGUCCUACUGUCCUGGAUCAGGAUGGGGAGAGAAGAUUGUGACUUUUGGGAGAUCUGAUAACGUUAUACUUCCAGUGCAUCACUAAAAAAAUACACAAGCUCCCUGAAAACUGAAAUACGGUCAAGAAGGAACAACUGUCAGUUAAUUUAAGUGCAAAAUGAAAAUGUCA
Molecule: long non-coding RNA, 505 nt
Organism: Numida meleagris (helmeted guineafowl)
Lineage: Eukaryota; Metazoa; Chordata; Aves; Galliformes; Numididae
Exons: 4
Source: RefSeq, a predicted model, not a curated record